RNAcentral lists this long non-coding RNA (280 nucleotides) under Phaseolus vulgaris (common bean). RNAcentral describes it as "long non-coding RNA (PVUL_LNC001096)". The record is from RNAcentral. Lineage: Eukaryota; Viridiplantae; Streptophyta; Magnoliopsida; Fabales; Fabaceae.
CGCGGUUUCGUAAGUGAAUGAAGACGUCCCUUUCUCUGGCUUGAGCACAGUAUUUAUAGGAUUGCCUAAUGGGCUUUCUAUCCCUUGGGCUCAGGGUGGUUAUGGAUAUGUCUUGUCAGUCGUGCUCCGGAAUACCCGGGGAACAUAUCUUCUCUAAACGCAUAUUCCUUAUUCUUCGGAGGUGUAUCUUAACCACCUUAGCUUGUCACAUAAAUGCCCUUACAUUUAUUGUGUACACGGCCGGUCGGCCACGUGCGUUCGUCCGGUGCCUACCAGUACA